RNAcentral lists this long non-coding RNA (1903 nucleotides) under Sus scrofa (pig). RNAcentral's name for it is "lncRNA (ENSSSCG00025039551.1)". The record is from RNAcentral. Lineage: Eukaryota; Metazoa; Chordata; Mammalia; Artiodactyla; Suidae.
AGGGCUGCACUCAUGGCAUGUGGAGGUUCCCAGGCUAGGGGUCUGAUCAGAGCUACAGCUGCCGGCCUAUGCCACAGCCUCAGCAAUGCAGGAUCCAAGCCAUGUCUGUGACCUACACCACAGCUCACGGCAAUGCCGGAUCCUUAACCCACUGAGUGAAGCUGGGGACCAAACCCACAACCUCAUGGCUUCUAGUCCGAUUUGUUUCUGUGGUACCCCGAAGCAAACUCCUGCCUGAUGUUUUGAGACUCUCCCUCCUCUCUUCCAUUGCAUGUUUCCGACCUAUACUCCUGCUUUCUCCUAAUUUCAUUGGGUUAUAUAAUUACAUUAGGUCCUAUAAAUAAUCUAAGAUAAUAAUUUUAUGACAUGCCCUGAAUUCCAUCUGAAAAACCACAGAUGGUAAAUAUGUAAUAUACCAUACAUAGAUAUAACAUGAUGGUAAAGGAUAUGAGGGCCAAAAUUCUAUCUAUAGUAUCACAGUUUAUAAUUAAUGGAAAAAAAAAGACAAAGAAAUAAAUGGAUAAAUAGUUUGGGAUGAUGAAAUCAACAAGAAAAUCAUUAUCAAAAAAAUGAGUUCCAAAAUGUGAAUUUUGGUGAAUAAGAAAGCAAUACGAAUUUCCCUACAAAAUAUUAUGAUAUAAUCAUAUAAAGUAUAUAUUGUGAAAAAUUAAACACUUUUGGGGAAACUACUGAUGCUAUAAAUUCUAUCCACUCUGUAUAGUAAUUGCCUCAUUAAAGAGCAAUACACAACUUCUAAACAUUUCAGUAGUAAAUGGACAAUGCUUUUUAAAAAUCUUACUUGCAAAAUAUCUAAAUAGACAUUCCUCCAAAGAAGACAUACCGAUGGCCAGAUAACACAUGAAAAGAUCCUCAACUUCACUCAUUGUUAGAGAAAUGCAAAUCAAAACUACUAUGAGGUACCACCUGACACCAGCCAGAGUGGCAUCAUCGAAAUGUCUACAAACUAUAAAUGCUGGAGAGGCUGUGGAGAAAAGUGAAUCCCCCUAUGUUGUUGGUGGGAGUGUAAAUUGGGGCAACCAUUAUGGAAAACAAAAUGGAGGUUCCUUAAAAACCUAAAAAGAGAACUACCGCUUGACCCAGCAAUCCCACUCCUGGGCAUCUAUCCAGAGAACACCAUGACUCAAAAAGAGACAUGCACUCCGAUGUUCAUUGCAGCAUUAUUUACAGUAGCCAAGACAUGGAAGCAAUCUAAAUGUCCAUCGACAGAGGAGUAGAUAAAGAAGAUGUGGUACAUAUAUACAAUGGAAUAUUAGCCCAAAAAAGCAUGAAAUAAUGCCAUUACCAGCAACAUGGCUUGACCUAGAGAUUAUCAUACUAAGAGAAGUUAAAUGAAAUUAUCUGAGGAACAAAAACAGACUCAGACUUUGAAAAAUAUACGGUUGCCUAAGGAGACAGGUUGGGGAUGGGGACUGACAUAUGCACGCUGAGGUCUGUGGAAUUAUUGGUCAAUGGGGACCUGCUAUAUAGCACAGAGAAUUCUAUCCAAUAUUCUGUGAUAAUCUAUGUGGGAAAACAAUAUGAAAGAAUGGAUGUGUGUACAUGUAUAACUGAGUCACUGUUUUUUUAUUUAUUUAUUUAUUUUUUUGUCUUUUGUCUUUUUGUUGAUGUUGUUGUUGUUGUUGUUGUUAUUGUUGCUAUUUCUUGGGCCGCUCCCGCGGCAUAUGGAGGUUCCCAGGCUAGGGGUCGAAUCGGAGCUGUAGCCACCAGCCUACGUCAGAGCCACAGCAACGCUGGAUCCGAGCCGCGUCUGCAGCCUACACCACAGCUCACGGCAACGCCGGAUCGUUAACCCACUGAGCAAGGGCAGGGAUCGAACCCGCAACCUCAUGGUUCCUAGUCGGAUUUGUUAACCACUGCGCCACGACGGGAACUCCUGUAUUUU